This 234-nucleotide long non-coding RNA is filed under the name Brassica napus (rape). RNAcentral describes it as "long non-coding RNA (BNAP_LNC019472)". The record is from RNAcentral. Lineage: Eukaryota; Viridiplantae; Streptophyta; Magnoliopsida; Brassicales; Brassicaceae.
GACAUUACAACGAAGCAUGUUACCGUUAUAUUUAGGUGAAAACGUGUAUUAAAUGUGCUUUAACUUACCUAAUUUCGUCGUAAAGUCGUUGUAAAUAAUAUGUUAAAACCAUGUAAAAUCCAUGUAAAAUAUUCCUUGUAAAAUCGUUGUUAUAUUUCAACUACCCAACUCGAAAAUUUCUCUAUAUAUAUGUCAUUUCCCACAACUCUCUUCCUCACAGCACACAAACGGGAG